CGGUAUAUAAAGCAAAGCGACGCGUUCAUCCGGUCUCAUUCUUCUGCAGUUCCUCAAAGGCGAGUCUAGUAUCCGGGGUAUUGAUUGAUUGAACGCGCGAGACGACUGGACUCUGGAGCGGAUCUGGAGAAGUGUGUCCAAGGAAUGUGGUGUGACUCUGGAACACCGUGUCAAAGGAACAUGUGCAGUGAAGUUGAUUUGAAAGGUUGUUUUAGAUCCUGGCACGAGCGAUGAAGAUGCCAUCAGCUGAGCACGCAUGAGUUCUGCAGGGGUGCAAGCAUCUCUGAAUGAGUUCUACAGGGGUGGAAGUGUUUACUUUAAUUCUGGCUGUGGAAAGAUCAGCAGCUGUCUGAAUGUUCUUCAGGGACUGAUCGGCAUGAUGUGCUGAUGGGAGUCACUGCAUGUGCUCAUUGACAGGUGCGGUGGUGACUGCUCCUUCAUGCUGUGUGAAUAUGAAUGCGGCAUGCACUUGUAAAGGAAGCACAAUAUCCAGGACGGCUCUGGAAAAACCAGAUUGUAUAAGGUGUGUUGCCUGCAUCCGACUCUUCUGAACUAUAUUCCAGAGCUUCGGUUCUUGUAUUGUUUUCUGAUUUGAAGUCACUUGUCUCUUUGCAGCAAUUAAGUGACAUUUAAAUGCCGUCAUCUACAUUUGUUAUAACUAGGCCAAGUUUGUAAAGUGUCCUUACUUCAAUAAAGUUGUAAAAUCAAAGGUCUUUCAAGUUUAUAAGGUUGUUGAUGUGUGAUUGUUUGGUUAAUCUCUUAUCAGUGUUGACCAAUUAACAGGCCUUUCAGGCAUUUGGUAGUAUGCAAUAUGACUAGUGUCUUUAUACUUUGAGUACUUGUACAGAGCAUUUACACUUGGAUAUUUGCCUGAUUUUGAAAGAUUUACACAUAGCUAACAUCUGGUCUAUAGAAGUGAUGUCUGAUGGUAAUUCUAAUCCAGGGGUCUCCAACCCUGCUCCUGGAGAGCUACUGUCCUGCAUAUUUCAGCUCCAACCCCAAUCAGACACCUGAACCAGCUAAUCAAUGUGUUCAGGGAUACUUGAUAAUUACAGACAGGUGGGUUGGAACUGAAGUCUGCAGGGUGGGAGAUCCCUGUUCUAAUCAAACAUACAUCAAGUUCUCAAACUGCG
Molecule: long non-coding RNA, 1133 nt
Organism: Cyprinus carpio carpio
Lineage: Eukaryota; Metazoa; Chordata; Actinopteri; Cypriniformes; Cyprinidae
Source: Ensembl